GACGAACGCUGGCGGUGUGCUUAACACAUGCAAGUCGAACGGAAAGGCCCCUUUGGGGGUCCUCGAGUGGCGAACGGGUGAGUAACACGUGAGUAACCUGCCCUUGACUUCGGGAUAACUUCAGGAAACUGGGGCUAAUACCGGAUAGGAAUCCUUGCUGCAUGGUGGGGGUUGGAAAGCUUCGGCGGUUUUGGAUGGACUCGCGGCUUAUCAGCUUGUUGGUGGGGUAGUGGCUUACCAAGGCUUUGACGGGUAGCCGGCCUGAGAGGGCGACCGGCCACAUUGGGACUGAGAUACGGCCCAGACUCCUACGGGAGGCAGCAGUGGGGAAUAUUGCACAAUGGGCGGAAGCCUGAUGCAGCAACGCCGCGUGCGGGAUGACGGCCUUCGGGUUGUAAACCGCUUUCAGCAGGGGCGAAGCUUGUGGUGACGGUACCUGCAGAAGAAGCACCGGCUAACUACGUG
RNAcentral lists this ribosomal RNA (465 nucleotides) under uncultured bacterium. RNAcentral's name for it is "partial 16S ribosomal RNA". It matches the Rfam family "Bacterial small subunit ribosomal RNA", at positions 28 to 507 of the family's 1533-position model. The record is from RNAcentral.